UUUCUAAAAAAAAUAAAAAAAGAACUUUCAAAAGUAAAUCUAAUUGUAUUAUUUAGAUUCAAAGAAAUAUCUGAAUCCAAUGAAACAAAAAAAGAAAAAGAUUAUCUAAUUAGUAAUCAAAUAAUUAACGAAUCAUUUCGUCAAAUUGAAUCUGGAAAUUGGCCAAAUUCUUCACUGAUAGAAACAAAAAUGAAGGAUUUGACUAAUAGAACAAGUACAAUCAAAAAUAAAAUAGAAAGAAUUACAAAAGAGAAAAAGAAAGUAACUCCAGAAAUAGACAUUAAUCCUAAUAAAACAAAUAAUAUUAAAAAAUUCGAAUCGCCAAAAAAAAUUUUCCAAAUAUUAAAAAGCAGAAAUACUCGAGUAAUAUGGAAAUUCCAUUAUUUUCUAAAAUUAUUUAUUCAAAGAUUAUACAUCAAUUUAUUUUUAUCUAUCAUUAAUAUUCCUAGAAUUACUACACAACUCUUUCUUAAAUCAACAAACAAAUUGAUUG
Molecule: unclassified non-coding RNA, 493 nt
Filed under: Hevea brasiliensis (rubber tree)
Lineage: Eukaryota; Viridiplantae; Streptophyta; Magnoliopsida; Malpighiales; Euphorbiaceae
Source: RNAcentral